ACGUUACCCAAAGAAUAAGCACCGGCUAACUCUGUGCCAGCAGCCGCGGUAAUACAGAGGGUGCAAGCGUUAAUCGGAAUGACUGGGCGUAAAGGGCACGUAGGCGGAUAGAUGUGUCAUAGGUGAAAUCCCCGGGCUCAACCUGGGAACUGCCUGUGAAACUGUGUAUCUAGAAUAGAGUAGAGGUAAGUGGAAUUUCCGGUGUAGCGGUGAAAUGCGUAGAUAUCGGAAAGAACACCAGUGGCGAAGGCGACUUACUGGACUCAUAUUGACGCUGAGGUGCGAAAGCGUGGGGAGCAAACGGGAUUAGAUACCCCGGUAGUCCACGCUGUAAACGAUGAGAACUAGAUGCUUGUUGACUAAGGUUAAUGAGUAUUGAAGCAAACGCGUUAAGUUCUCCGCCUGGGGAGUACGGCCGCAAGGUUAAAACUCAAAGGAAUUGACGGGGGCCCGCACAAGCGGUGGAGCAUGUGGUUUAAUUCGAUGCAACGCGAAAAACCUUACCUACCCUUGACAUGCCAGGAAUCCUGAAGAGAUUUGGGAGUGCCCGCGA
Molecule: ribosomal RNA, 553 nt
Filed under: uncultured bacterium
Lineage: Bacteria
Description: bacterial SSU rRNA
Rfam family: Bacterial small subunit ribosomal RNA
Source: RNAcentral